CGCCUUGCCAGCCCGCUCAGAACUUAAAGGAAUUGACGGGGCCCGCACAAGCGGUGGAGUAUGUGGUUUAAUUCGAUGCAACGCGAAGAACCUUACCUGGUCUUGACAUCCCGGAGACCCUUAGGAAACUAGGGGGUGCUUCCAUCUGGAAGAAUCUGGAGACAGGUGCUGCAUGGCUGUCGUCAGCUCGUGUCGUGAGAUGUUGGGUUAAGUCCCGCAACGAGCGCAACCCUUGCCUUUAGUUGCCAGCAGUUCGGCUGGGCACUCUAAAGGGACUGCCGGUGUUAAACCGGAGGAAGGUGGGGAUGACGUCAAGUCCUCAUGGCCUUUAUGACCAGGGCUACACACGUACUACAAUGGCCGAUACAAAGGGCAGCGACACUGCGAGGUGAAGCCAAUCCCGUAAAAUCGGUCUCAGUCCGGAUUGGAGUCUGCAACUCGACUCCAUGAAGUUCGGUAAUCGCUACGUAAUCGUGGAAUCAAGACUAUGCCACGGUGAAUACGUUCCGGCCUU
This 514-nucleotide ribosomal RNA is filed under the name uncultured Desulfobulbus sp. Its description in RNAcentral is "bacterial SSU rRNA". It matches the Rfam family "Bacterial small subunit ribosomal RNA", at positions 903 to 1382 of the family's 1533-position model. Lineage: Bacteria; Pseudomonadati; Thermodesulfobacteriota; Desulfobulbia; Desulfobulbales; Desulfobulbaceae. The record is from RNAcentral.